RNAcentral lists this ribosomal RNA (628 nucleotides) under uncultured bacterium. RNAcentral's name for it is "bacterial SSU rRNA". It matches the Rfam family "Bacterial small subunit ribosomal RNA", at positions 56 to 731 of the family's 1533-position model. The record is from RNAcentral.
UGCAGUCGAGCGCACCCUUCGGGGCGAGCGGCGGACGGGUUAGUAACGCGUGGGAACAUACCCUUUGGUACGGAAUAGCCUCUGGAAACGGAGAGUAAUACCGUAUGUGCCCUUCGGGGGAAAGAUUUAUCGCCAAAGGAUUGGCCCGCGUUAGAUUAGAUAGUUGGUGGGGUAAUGGCCUACCAAGUCUACGAUCUAUAGCUGGUUUUAGAGGAUGAUCAGCAACACUGGGACUGAGACACGGCCCAGACUCCUACGGGAGGCAGCAGUGGGGAAUCUUAGACAAUGGGCGCAAGCCUGAUCUAGCCAUGCCGCGUGUGUGAUGAAGGCCUUAGGGUCGUAAAGCACUUUCGCCAGAGAUGAUAAUGACAGUAUCUGGUAAAGAAACCCCGGCUAACUCCGUGCCAGCAGCCGCGGUAAUACGGAGGGGGUUAGCGUUGUUCGGAAUUACUGGGCGUAAAGCGUACGUAGGCGGAUCAGAAAGUAGGGGGUGAAAUCCCGAGGCUCAACCUCGGAACUGCCUCCUAAACUCCUGGUCUUGAGUUCGAGAGAGGUGAGUGGAAUUCCAAGUGUAGAGGUGAAAUUCGUAGAUAUUUGGAGGAACACCAGUGGCGAAGGCGGCUCACUG